Molecule: small RNA, 311 nt
Filed under: Pan troglodytes (chimpanzee)
Lineage: Eukaryota; Metazoa; Chordata; Mammalia; Primates; Hominidae
Description: retained intron
Source: RNAcentral
AGAGCAAAUGGCUUAAAGAAAGCAAAUGGUGUUGCAAAGUGCUAACUAUGAAUGUCUUCAAAAAUGCUUAUUAUUAAUGGAAUUCUUGUCUUAAAGAGCAAAGGCACAACACCACUUGCUCCACCACCUAAACCUGUUCGAAGAAGAUUAAAAUCAGAAGAUGAAUUAAGGCCAGAAGUUGAUGAACAUACACAAAAGACGGGUGUCUUAGCUGCUGUUCUUGCAUCACAACCUUCUAUUCCCAGAUCUGUUGGGAAAGAUAAGAAAGCUAUUCAGGCAUCAAUUAGACGUAAUAAGGAAACCAACACCGU